RNAcentral lists this ribosomal RNA (253 nucleotides) under uncultured bacterium. RNAcentral's name for it is "partial 16S ribosomal RNA". It matches the Rfam family "Bacterial small subunit ribosomal RNA", at positions 524 to 776 of the family's 1533-position model. The record is from RNAcentral.
UACGGAGGGUGCGAGCGUUGUCCGGAAUCACUGGGCGUAAAGGGCGCGUAGGCGGCCUGCUAAGUCGAACGUGAAAUCCCCGAGCUCAACUCGGGAACUGCGUCCGAUACUGGCAGGCUUGAAUCCGGGAGAGGGAUGCGGAAUUCCAGGUGUAGCGGUGAAAUGCGUAGAUAUCUGGAGGAACACCGGUGGCGAAGGCGGCAUCCUGGACCGGCAUUGACGCUGAGGCGCGAAAGCCAGGGGAGCAAACGGG